This 755-nucleotide ribosomal RNA is filed under the name uncultured bacterium. Its description in RNAcentral is "bacterial SSU rRNA". It matches the Rfam family "Bacterial small subunit ribosomal RNA", at positions 28 to 776 of the family's 1533-position model. The record is from RNAcentral.
AUUGAACGCUGGCGGCAGGCUUAACACAUGCAAGUCGAGCGGAAACGAUGGUAGCUUGCUACCAGGCGUCGAGCGGCGGACGGGUGAGUAAUACUUAGGAAUCUACCUAGUAGUGGGGGAUAGCUCGGGGAAACUCGAAUUAAUACCGCAUACGACCUACGGGAGAAAGGGGGCAGUUUACUGCUCUCGCUAUUAGAUGAGCCUAAGUCGGAUUAGCUAGAUGGUGGGGUAAAGGCCUACCAUGGCGACGAUCUGUAGCUGGUCUGAGAGGAUGAUCAGCCACACCGGGACUGAGACACGGCCCGGACUCCUACGGGAGGCAGCAGUGGGGAAUAUUGGACAAUGGGGGAAACCCUGAUCCAGCCAUGCCGCGUGUGUGAAGAAGGCCUUUUGGUUGUAAAGCACUUUAAGCAGUGAAGAAGACUCCGUGGUUAAUACCCACGGACGAUGACAUUAGCUGCAGAAUAAGCACCGGCUAACUCUGUGCCAGCAGCCGCGGUAAUACAGAGGGUGCAAGCGUUAAUCGGAAUUACUGGGCGUAAAGGGAGCGUAGGUGGCUCGAUAAGUCAGAUGUGAAAUCCCCGGGCUCAACCUGGGAACUGCAUCUGAUACUGUUGAGCUAGAGUAUGUGAGAGGAAGGUAGAAUUCCAGGUGUAGCGGUGAAAUGCGUAGAGAUCUGGAGGAAUACCGAUGGCGAAGGCAGCCUUCUGGCAUAAUACUGACACUGAGGCUCGAAAGCGUGGGUAGCAAACAGG